GACGAACGCUGGCGGCGUGCUUAACACAUGCAAGUCGAACGGUGAAGCGCCUUACUUUUUGGUUGGUGUGGAUGAGUGGCGAACGGGUGAGUAACACGUGAGUAACCUGCCCCCUUCUUCUGGAUAACCGCAUGAAAGUGUGGCUAAUACGGGAUAUUCUGGGUCUGUCGCAUGAUGGGUCUGGGAAAGAUAUUGUUUCGGUGGGGGAUGGGCUCGCGGCCUAUCAGCUUGUUGGUGGGGUGAUGGCCUACCAAGGCGGUGACGGGUAGCCGGCCUGAGAGGGUGGACGGUCACACUGGGACUGAGACACGGACCAGACUCCUAAGGGAGGCAGCAGUGGGGAAUAUUGCACAAUGGGCGCAAGCCUGAUGCAGCGACGCCGCGUGAGGGAUGGAGGCCUUCGGGUUGUGAACCUCUUUCGCCAGUGAAGCAGGCCUGCCUCGUUUGUGGGUGGGUUGACGGUAGCUGGAUAAGAAGCGCCGGCUAACUACGU
Molecule: ribosomal RNA, 493 nt
Filed under: uncultured bacterium
Lineage: Bacteria
Description: partial 16S ribosomal RNA
Rfam family: Bacterial small subunit ribosomal RNA
Source: RNAcentral